UACGGGAGGCAGCAGUGGGGAUUCUUCCGCAAUGGGCGCAAGCCUGACGGAGCAACGCCGUGUGAGUGAAGAAGGGUUUCGACUCGUAAAGCUCUGUUGUAGGGGAAAAAAUGUGGAGGUUGUGAAUAACAGUUUCCAAUGACGGUACCUGACGAGGAAGCCACGGCUAACUACGUGCCAGCAGCCGCGGUAAUACGUAGGUGGCGAGCGUUGUCCGGAAUUAUUGGGCGUAAAGGGAGCGCAGGCGGGAGAUCAAGUCUAUCUUAAAAGUGCGGGGCUCAACCCCGUGAGGGGAUGGAAACUGGUCUUCUUGAGUGCAGGAGAGGAAAGCGGAAUUCCUAGUGUAGCGGUGAAAUGCGUAGAUAUUAGGAGGAACACCAGUGGCGAAGGCGGCUUUCUGGACUGUAACUGACGCUGAGGCUCGAAAGCGUGGGGAGCGAACAGGAUUAGAUACCCUGGUAGUCCACGCCGUAAACGAUGAAUGCUAGGUGUAGGAGGUAUCGACCCCUCCUGUGCCGGAGUUAACGCAAUAA
Molecule: ribosomal RNA, 533 nt
Filed under: uncultured bacterium
Lineage: Bacteria
Description: bacterial SSU rRNA
Rfam family: Bacterial small subunit ribosomal RNA
Source: RNAcentral